CAGCCGCCACGGUAAUACGUAGGUGGCAAGCGUUGUCCGGAAUUAUUGGGCGUAAAGGGCUCGCAGGCGGUUUCUUAAGUCUGAUGUGAAAGCCCCCGGCUCAACCGGGGAGGGUCAUUGGAAACUGGGAAACUUGAGUGCAGAAGAGGAGAGUGGAAUUCCACGUGUAGCGGUGAAAUGCGUAGAGAUGUGGAGGAACACCAGUGGCGAAGGCGACUCUCUGGUCUGUAACUGACGCUGAGGAGCGAAAGCGUGGGGAGCGAACAGGAUUAGAUACCCGGGUAGUCCCUGUCUCUUAUAA
RNAcentral lists this ribosomal RNA (301 nucleotides) under uncultured bacterium. Its description in RNAcentral is "partial 16S ribosomal RNA". It matches the Rfam family "Bacterial small subunit ribosomal RNA", at positions 509 to 809 of the family's 1533-position model. The record is from RNAcentral.